This 201-nucleotide long non-coding RNA is filed under the name Lathyrus oleraceus (garden pea). Its description in RNAcentral is "Pisum sativum (pea) long non-coding RNA (PSAT_LNC027469)". Lineage: Eukaryota; Viridiplantae; Streptophyta; Magnoliopsida; Fabales; Fabaceae. The record is from RNAcentral.
UUUUUCGUGCCAACCUCUAUUUUAUAAAUACACGUCCGUUCCCACAUAUUUUCACAUCCAGAAACGUGGUAUUAUUUUCACUUCUCACUCUCUCUCUAAAAAUUCGUUUUGUUUACUUUCCGUCACUAAAAGUUUGGUCGACGUGUUAUUCGAGAAAGUCAUUUUGCGAGUGAGAAAGUUAUAUUUUCGGAAGGGUGGUUU